GCAUUGCUGAGGAGUCCCAUGAUGGGACGAAACGGCCGUCCAAUGC
This 46-nucleotide non-coding RNA is filed under the name Schistosoma margrebowiei. Lineage: Eukaryota; Metazoa; Platyhelminthes; Trematoda; Strigeidida; Schistosomatidae. The record is from RNAcentral.